AGAAGCACUUAAUAAGAAACAAUCCAACCACAGUUGCAGCAGUCAUAAAAAGCCAAGGCUCUCAACCUCACAAUCAAACAGUUCUCUGCUUAGGAUUCGAAUACUUCUAAAACACAAAAAAUAUUAUCUUGGAAAAGUGGACUUGUCAUCUGUUUUUCUCCUCUUCUUAUUUUGCACUCUUUUGUUCCUGGUAAUAUUCUAUUUUCACACCUUUCGCGAGAGGGACUCGUCUGUUCACAGGAAGAAAUUAAGAAGAAACUAAAAGAAAAACAAGAAGCAAUGAGCAAGGCAGAGCUAAUAUUCGUUCCAGCUCCUGGAGUUGGUCACAUAGUUUCCACCAUUGAAUUCGCUAAGAGUCUGAUCCUCCGUGAUAAUCAAAUACUGGUUACCAUUCUCGUCAUGAAACUACCCAUCACUCCUUUUAUUGAUGCAUACACCAAAUCACUCACUGCUUCCCAACCCAAUAUCCGUCUCAUUAACCUCCCUCAAGUGGAUCUUCCUUCUCCUGAACUUUUGGCCAAAUCUGUAGAAAGCUAUAUUUGUGCCGUUAUCGAAAGUCACAAACCCCAUGUGCAAAAAAUUGUCUCUGAUAUCAUAUCUUCCCGAUCUAGCUCAGAUUCGUUUCCAGUUGCAGGGAUAAUUCUUGAUUUCUUUUGCGUGUCCAUGAUUGACAUUGGAGAUGAAUUGGGCUUGCCUUCUUUUAUAUUCUUGACAUCCGGUUUAGGAUUCUUGAGUCUCAUGCUUUAUCUACCCUCACGCCAUGAACAAAUUGGCACUGAAUUUAGCUUUUCUGAUUCUGAGGUUUUAAUUCCAGGUUUUGCCAAUCCUGUUCCUCCAAGAGUUUUGCCUGAAGCUGUGUUCAACAAGCAUGGUGGUUAUGCUGCUUAUGUUAAGGUAGCUCAAAGGUUCAAGGACGCAAAAGGUAUUAUAGUUAAUACAUUGACCGAGCUCGAAUCUCAUGCACUUGAGUCCCUUCGUAAUGGCCAGAACCCUAAGAUUUACCCGGUUGGACCGGUGCUGAACUUGAAGGGUCAUCCACAUCCAGACAUGGACCAUGGUCAAUGGGACAAGACCAAAAAGUGGCUCGAUGAGCAACCUGAAUCAUCUGUGGCGUUCUUGUGUUUUGGAAGCGCAGGGGCAUUUAGUAUAUCCCAAGUGAAAGAAAUAGCUCUCGGUCUGGAGCAGAGUGGGUACAGAUUCUUGUGGUCCAUGAGAGUUCCUCCAGUACAAGAUGAAGUCCCUAAAUUCAAGAACCCAGAGGAGAUGUUGCCAGAAGGAUUCUUGGAAGGAAUAGAAGGGAGAGGAAUGAUAUGUGGGUGGGUACCACAGGUAGAGGUGCUAGCCCACAAGGCCAUAGGAGGGUUCGUAUCUCAUUGUGGGUGGAAUUCUAUCUUGGAGAGCUUUUGGUAUGGGGUGCCUAUUGUGACCUUGCCUAUAUAUGCAGAGCAGCAGCUUAAUGCAUUUACAAUGGUGAAGGAACUGGGGCUGGCAGUGGAGCUGAAAUUGGAUUACAGGGCAAAUGGAGAUCUUGCGAAGGCAGAGGAGGUGGAAAGAGCUGUGAAAUGUGUAAUGGAAAGUGAUAAUGAGGUAAGAAAGAAGGUGAAAGACGUGGCAGGAAUGGCGAGGAAGGCAGGGAUGGAAGGGGGAUCUUCAUCAACUUCAAUCUUAGAGUUGAUCGAGGACUUUAAAAAAUAUGUGUGAAUGUUGGUAUUGAAAUAGAAAAGGGGAAAUAAGGUGAUUGCCAGAUAUAAAAACAAUAAAUUUCUAAUUAGGAAUCUCUUUCUUGUUUUGUUUUGAGAAACGUGUGUUCAUGAGAUCAUUCUUAAUUUUCUUGCUUUUAUAUAUUUAUUGCGAGGGAUCAAGUCUGUCAAAAAUUUCAGUUGGCGUUCUUUCCGUUUUAUAAAAAAAUAGAAGAGAAAUCAAUGCCUUAGUGAUUUACAAGGCGU
RNAcentral lists this unclassified non-coding RNA (1946 nucleotides) under Hevea brasiliensis (rubber tree). The record is from RNAcentral. Lineage: Eukaryota; Viridiplantae; Streptophyta; Magnoliopsida; Malpighiales; Euphorbiaceae.